RNAcentral lists this ribosomal RNA (451 nucleotides) under uncultured bacterium. Its description in RNAcentral is "partial 16S ribosomal RNA". It matches the Rfam family "Bacterial small subunit ribosomal RNA", at positions 354 to 796 of the family's 1533-position model. The record is from RNAcentral.
GUGGGGAAUAUUGGACAAUGGGGGGAACCCUGAUCCAGCCAUGCCGCGUGUGUGAAGAAGGCCUUUUGGUUGUAAAGCACUUUAAGCGAGGAGGAGGCUACCGAGAUUAAUACUCUUGGAUAGUGGACGUUACUCGCAGAAUAAGCACCGGCUAACUCUGUGCCAGCAGCCGCGGUAAUACAGAGGGUGCAAGCGUUAAUCGGAUUUACUGGGCGUAAAGCGCGCGUAGGUGGCCAAUUAAGUCAAAUGUGAAAUCACCGAGCUUAACUUGGGAAUUGCAUUCGAUACUGGUUGGCUAGAGUAUGGGAGAGGAUGGUAGAAUUCCAGGUGUAGCGGUGAAAUGCGUAGAGAUCUGGAGGAAUACCGAUGGCGAAGGCAGUCAUCUGGCCUAAUACUGACACUGAGGUGCGAAAGCAUGGGGAGCAAACAGGAUUAGAUACCCUAGUAGUCC